GACGAACGCUGGCGGCGUGCUUAACACAUGCAAGUCGAGCGGUAAGGCCCUUUCGGGGGUACGACGAGCGGCGAACGGGUAGGAGUAACAACGUGGGUGGACCUCGCCCUCCAGCUCUGGGAGUAAGACCUCGGGAAACCGGGGUACCGUAAUAACCGGGACUAUGACUCCAUGACGCAUGUUGUGGGGUGGAAAGCCUUGUGCGGCUGAGGAUGGGCCCGCGGCCUAUCAGCUUGUUGGUGGGGUGAUGGCCUACCAAGGCGACGACGGGUAGCCGGCCUGAGAGGGCGACCGGCCACACUGGGACUGAGACACGGCCCAGACUCCUACGGGAGGGCAGCAGUGGGGGAA
This 351-nucleotide ribosomal RNA is filed under the name uncultured bacterium. RNAcentral's name for it is "bacterial SSU rRNA". It matches the Rfam family "Bacterial small subunit ribosomal RNA", at positions 28 to 362 of the family's 1533-position model. The record is from RNAcentral.